UACGUAGGGUGCAAGCGUUAAUCGGAAUUACUGGGCGUAAAGCGUGCGCAGGCGGUUUUGUAAGUCUGUCGUGAAAUCCCCGGGCUUAACCUGGGAACUGCAUUGAGGACUGGAAGGCUAGAGUACGGCAGAGGGGGGUGGAAUUCCACGUGUAGCAGUGAAAUGCGUAGAGAUGUGGAGGAACACCGAUGGCGAAGGCAGCCCCCUGGGCCUGUACUGACGCUCAUGCACGAAAGCGUGGGGAGCAAACAGG
RNAcentral lists this ribosomal RNA (253 nucleotides) under uncultured bacterium. RNAcentral describes it as "partial 16S ribosomal RNA". It matches the Rfam family "Bacterial small subunit ribosomal RNA", at positions 524 to 776 of the family's 1533-position model. The record is from RNAcentral.